This is a long non-coding RNA of Carassius auratus (goldfish), 417 nucleotides long. RefSeq lists it as uncharacterized. The record is from RefSeq and is a predicted model, not a curated record. NCBI's taxonomy places the organism in Eukaryota, Metazoa, Chordata, Actinopteri, Cypriniformes, Cyprinidae. The transcript has 3 exons.
CCACGCUGCUCCAGCGCAGCUCACACGCGCGUCACACGGCCUCCGGCACACGCACGCUGUUUUCAAAAGGACCGGCGCACAAAGCGUCACAAAAGACCAUGCUUACGCACGCUGGGCCAUAUUUCUGAUGAGCUGUUCAUGCUGUCAUCCAAAGAUCAGGCUGUCCUUCAGCAUGUGAAAGAGUUCAUGAGAAAGCAUGUACUUCCUGCCCAACAGGUCAGCAUUGCCGUCAUGACCUCUGUGGAAAUACCUCAUGUUAAUACAGCAUGAGUACAGAAAGGCAAUGGCUCGAGCCUCAGGCUUGUGGGAUUUGUUUCUUCCGUCUGAGUGGCCUCUCACAGCUGGAUUAUGCUCAUAUCUCAGAGAAGACCGGAUGCUGCUUCUACGCCCCCAAAGUUUUUAACUGCCAGGCCCCAG